AUUGAACGCUGGCGGCAGGCCUAACACAUGCAAGUCGAGCGGAUGAAGGGAGCUUGCUCCUGGAUUCAGCGGCGGACGGGUGAGUAAUGCCUAGGAAUCUGCCUGGUAGUGGGGGAUAACGUCCGGAAACGGGCGCUAAUACCGCAUACGUCCUGAGGGAGGAAGUGGGGGAUCUUCGGACCUCACGCUAUCAGAUGAGCCUAGGUCGGAUUAGCUAGUUGGUGGGGUAAAGGCCUACCAAGGCGACGAUCCGUAACUGGUCUGAGAGGAUGAUCAGUCACACUGGAACUGAGACACUGUCCAGACUCCUACGGGAGGCAGCAGUGGGGAAUAUUGGACAAUGGGCGAAAGCCUGAUCCAGCCAUGCCGCGUGUGUGAAGAAGGUCUUCGGAUUGUAAAGCACUUUAAGUUGGGAGGAAGGGCAGUAAGUUAAUACCUUGCUGUUUUGACGUUACCAACAGAAUAAGCACCGGCUAACUUCGUG
This 484-nucleotide ribosomal RNA is filed under the name uncultured bacterium. Its description in RNAcentral is "partial 16S ribosomal RNA". It matches the Rfam family "Bacterial small subunit ribosomal RNA", at positions 30 to 507 of the family's 1533-position model. The record is from RNAcentral.